GUCACGGAGCUGACUCACCCAGAGCGCGCAUGGACAAACCCCAAAAUCCCGCCUUGCCGGGUCUGUACGAAAGGACAGUGGUGAUUAGCCCUGGUAAUCACAGGACGCUACCGGAGCUGAUGGAUACGAGCUCGAACCUGGACGGAUUUGCUCACCGUGUCCCGCGCCCUAAGCUCCGAGGGACGCUGACACCGAGGGUUUUUUUUUUUUUUUUUUCCUAUCAAACACGUUGCCCACCCCGAGAGCAAGUAGGUCUCUAUAGAAUGAGCUUCUGAGAAAUUAGUUCUUAGGUUGCAGAACAAGGAAGGAGGAGACUGGUUCUCUGAAGAACGUUGAUCUGCUGGGCUGUCUCCAAGUUAGUUGAAGUCACUGUCAUAUUUUACAAGCCUUCCAAUCAAACCACAGAAUUAUCAAAAGUAACGAUUUCUUUACAAUCCUAAUGGAAAGCUCUGGGGCCAUCUGGAGUCCAUACCUGUGAAACACACAUUGAAGAUCUCAAAUGCGCCCCUGGCAGGAGUAAGGUGUCCCCAAGUGCUUUUGUGACAGGUCAGAAGUCCAAACUGGGCCUGACUGGGCUAAAAUCAAAGAUGCCAGCAGGUUUGUAUUCCUUUCUGGAACUUUUCCAGAUUUUAAAGGGCAGAUGCAUCCCUUACUCAUGGUCCCUUCCUCUUGCUUCCAAGCCAACAGCAGAGCAUCACUCUGACCUUGCUUCUGUUACCGUAUCUUCAUUCUGCUUCCCUCUUCUACUUUGACAGCACUCUUGUGAUUACUUUAGACACACUGGAUAAGCCCUGAUAAUCUUUCUACCUUAAAGUCAUUUCAUUAGCAACCUUAAUUUCAUUGUCAAACUUAAUUCUCCUUUAGCAGGCAAACUAACACAUUUACCUUCUGACUAUUAGAACAUGACAUCUGGGUUGCCUGGGUGGCUCAGUUAAGUGUCUGCCUUAAGCUCAGGUCAUGAGCCUGGGGUCCUGGGAUCGAGUCCUGCAUUGGGCUCCCUGCUCAGGCUCCAGAGAGCCUGCUUCUCCCUCUGCCUGCCUCUCCCCCUGCUUGUGCUCUCUUGGUUUCUCUCUCUUUCUC
Molecule: long non-coding RNA, 1080 nt
Organism: Mustela lutreola (European mink)
Lineage: Eukaryota; Metazoa; Chordata; Mammalia; Carnivora; Mustelidae
Exons: 3
Source: RefSeq, a predicted model, not a curated record